Molecule: ribosomal RNA, 494 nt
Filed under: uncultured bacterium
Lineage: Bacteria
Description: bacterial SSU rRNA
Rfam family: Bacterial small subunit ribosomal RNA
Source: RNAcentral
AAAGGAAUUGACGGGGGCCCGCACAAGCGGUGGAGCAUGUGGUUUAAUUCGAGGCAACGCGAAGAACCUUACCAAGGCUUGACAUCCCGCUGACUGGUGUGGAAACACAUCUUUUCUUCGGAACAGCGGAGACAGGUGGUGCAUGGUUGUCGUCAGCUCGUGUCGUGAGAUGUUGGGUUAAGUCCCGCAACGAGCGCAACCCUUAUCUUUAGUAGCCAUCGGGUAAUGCCGGGUACACUAGAGAGACUGCCGUGGAAACACGGAGGAAGGUGGGGAUGAGGUCAAAUCAUCAUGCCCCUUAUGUCUUGGGCUACACACGUGCUACAAUGGCUGCAACAGAGUGACGCGAUCCUGUGAGGGUGAGCUAACCACAAAAAAGCAGUCUCAGUUCGGAUUGUAGUCUGCAACCCGACUACAUGAAGUCGGAAUCGCUAGUAAUCGCGAAUCAGCAUGUCGCGGUGAAUACGUUCCCGGGCCUUGUACACACCGCCCGU